AACGUACGCUGGCGGCACGCUUAACACAUGCAAGUCGAACGAAGUAGCAAUACUUAGUGGCAGACGGGUGAGUAACAUGUGGGUAUCUGCCCUUUGGCCUGGAAUAACACGAGGAAACUUGUGCUAAUACCGGAUAAGUCUUUACGGAGAAAGCUUUAUGCACCAUUGGAUGAGCCCGCACUUGAUUAGUUUGUUGGUGGGGUAAUGGCCUACCAAGACUGUGAUCAAUAGCUGAUUUGAGAGGAUGAUCAGCCACAUUGGGACUGAGACACGGCCCAAACUCCUACGGGAGGCAGCAGUGGGGAAUCUUGCACAAUGGAGGAAACUCUGAUGCAGCGAUGCCGCGUGAGUGAAGAAGGCCCUUGGGUUGUAAAGCUCUUUCGUCGGGGAAGAAAAUGACUGUACCCGAAUAAGAAGGUCCGGCUAACUUCGUGCCAGCAGCCGCGGUAAUACGAAGGGACCUAGCGUAGUUCGGAAUUACUGGGCUUAAAGAGUUCGUAGGUGGUUGAAAAAGUUAGUGGUGAAAUCCCAGAGCUUAACUCUGGAACUGCCAUUAAAACUUUUCAGCUAGAGUAUGAUAGAGGAAAGCAGAAUUUCUAGUGUAGAGGUGAAAUUCGUAGAUAUUAGAAAGAAUACCAAUUGCGAAGGCAGCUUUCUGGAUCAUUACUGACACUGAGGAACGAAGGCAUGGGUAGCGAAGAGGAUUAGAUACCCUCGUAGUCCAUGCCGUAAACGAUGUGUGUUAGACGUUGGAAAUUUAUUUUCAGUGUCGCAGCGAAAGCGAUAAACACACCGCCUGGGGAGUACGACCGCAAGGUUAAAACUCAAAUGAAUUGACGGGGACCCGCACAAGUAGUGGAGCAUGUGGUUUAAUUCGAAGAUACGCGCAGAACCUUACCAACACUUGACAUGUUCGUCGCGACUCUAAGAGAUUAGAGUUUUCGGUUCGGCCGGACGAAACACAGGUGCUGCAUGGCUGUCGUCAGCUCGUGUCGUGAGAUGUUGGGUUAAGUCCCGCAACGAGCGCAACCCUCACUUUUAGUUGCCAUCAUUAAGUUGGGCACUCUGAAAGAACUGCCAGUGAUAAGCUGGAGGAAGGUGGGGAUGACGUCAAGUCCUCAUGGCCCUUACGUGUUGGGCUACACACGUGCUACAAUGGUAUCUACAACAGGAAGCAAGACUGCGAGGUCAAGCAAAUCCUUAAAAGAUACCUCAGUUCGGAUUGCACUCUGCAACUCGAGUGCAUGAAGCUGGAAUUACUAGUAAUCGUGGAUCAGCGUGCCACGGUGAAUGCGUUCCCGGGUCU
Molecule: ribosomal RNA, 1306 nt
Filed under: uncultured bacterium
Lineage: Bacteria
Description: bacterial SSU rRNA
Rfam family: Bacterial small subunit ribosomal RNA
Source: RNAcentral